CCCCUUCUCUCACGACCUUGCUCCCUACCCCACCCCUUUUUUUUGUGACUUUCAGGCAACCCCUCCCAUUUCCCGAGCUAGGCAGUCCACCUCGCUUUUUUUUGGGGUUUGUUGUGUGCGUGAUUUUCAGGUACAAGCCACGGCGGACAAGGCGAGCUUGCGGCAUUUGGACGCGAAGAGCAAAGCAACACCGAACGAAAUGUGCAAGAGCUAGCGAUAGUUGAUAUCGGGCGAAUCAAAGCAUACUUCCAGGUUUUUUCAUCGGGUGUUGGUACCCCCCGACCUCCUUUUUUACUCUGUACACCCUUUUACGUUUUCUAUCUAAGCACCCUGUGUGUGGUUUAGUUUGUCGAUUCCUAGCUUGCAUCCUUUUGCGUAUUCCGG
RNAcentral lists this long non-coding RNA (384 nucleotides) under Nicotiana benthamiana. Its description in RNAcentral is "long non-coding RNA (NBEN_LNC040947)". The record is from RNAcentral. Lineage: Eukaryota; Viridiplantae; Streptophyta; Magnoliopsida; Solanales; Solanaceae.